CAGUCGCCACGGUAAUACGAGGGGGGCAAGCGUUGUUCGGAAUUAUUGGGCGUAAAGGGCGCGUAGGCGGUUUGACAAGUCUGAUGUGAAAUCUCUGGGCUCAACCCAGAGUCUGCAUCGGAAACUGUCGAGCUUGAGUAUGGGAGAGGUGAGUGCAAUUUCCGGUGUAGCGGUGAAAUGCGUAGAUAUCGGAAGGAACACCUGUGGCGAAAGCGGCUCACUGGACCAUUACUGACGCUGAGGCGCGAAAGCUAGGGGAGCAAACAGGAUUAGAUACCCGCGUAGUCCCUGUCUCUUAUAC
RNAcentral lists this ribosomal RNA (301 nucleotides) under uncultured bacterium. RNAcentral describes it as "partial 16S ribosomal RNA". It matches the Rfam family "Bacterial small subunit ribosomal RNA", at positions 509 to 807 of the family's 1533-position model. The record is from RNAcentral.